AAGAAAUAAUAAAAAAAAAAUUAUACUUGCAAAACAUGUAGUGUGGGUCUUGAAUCAAGUAAUCAAGUUACUUCUGCCAGAUGCCUCUGACAGCACCCAAGAAGGUCUAGAUUUCUGGGGAUUACAUUCCCUGUGUGUAUCCAUCCACUUGUCUGUACUUGGUAUGUGUGUGCAAGGCAGGUUGCCUGCAGCCCACCCCUCCAGGACACAAUUCCUGGUGUUAAAAGGAAAUACUAAGGACAGCUUUUUUUUCCUCAACAUAUUUUUGUCUCAACAGUCUGAUGCUGAAGCAGACCUCCUCUGGAAAAGCAAGUCUGUUUCUUAUGCAGUUUAUCCCCAGCCCCCUCCCACCCUAGCCAUAUGCUUUUUCUAUCUAACUCCCAUCUCUUGGAUGCCAUAAGGUUUGGCAGAAUCUUGGCAUGGGGCUCAGAGAUCUGAAAUUAUGUUGGGUGUGAUGUCUGACCAUUCUCCCCUUGUCUGUCCAGCUUUACUUUCAGUGGUAAUGUGGGUAUGUCUGGUGAGAUGGGUUGUGAUCUGUUCCUCUAGUAGUUGGAACCAAUUGCAUCUCAUUGAUAUUGAUGUGCUAACUCUGAUUUAAACACUGCCUUUUAAUUUGAAGAAUUUUGCUGGGAAGGUGUUCUUAGCAUAUGUUCCCAAAUGACAUUAUUCUUCUGUAGCUGUAAUUCAGUGGGAACUAGAUUCAGCAGAGCUGGAUCGUUGCCCCUUGGAUGUGAUUUCCCUACCUACAAGAUGUAGUGCCACAGUGCUGGGCAUCACUGAUGAAUGGUUGUCCUUGUGUUACUUAAUACAGAAGAUGUGCUCUCAUUGCUGUGGCCCCAUGGCAUACACGCUUUGGGGAUCAGCUGUGAAACACUCUGGCAUACACGCUUUGGGGAUCAGCUGUGAAACACUCUGGAAAGACCACAAUGCUAGCUUCCAUCUUGUUUUCCUGACCUCUGCCUUCCUCAACAAUUGCUCGUUGGGAUCCCUGACAUAUUGCAGGGAUUCUCCACAUCCUGAGCUCACCAUGGUCCUUAAAAGGAAUUUAGCCUCUAACUCAGAUCCAGGCUGCAGCAGCGAGCUACCACUCUUGGUUUCUUCUUGACUUGACCCUGACCCUCACCCUGACCUACAUACUAUGGUCUGUUUGGUGCUAAGCAAAUUUUGAACCUAGCCACCACCAGGAGCUAGUUCAAGGUACCUAUGUAGCUCUUCAUUCUUUCAUUCAAUCAUUCACUCAUACAUUCAUGAAACAUUUGCUGGAUCCCUGCUCUCAGACAGAUUCUACCCCAAGCCCUGUGAAAGAGACAGAAAAGUAAGGGGACAAUUACACAGUAGUAUGAUAAAGUCCAAAUGAGAGGGAAGCACAAAAUGCUAUGAAAACAAAGAAGAGAUUUUUAUCCCAGUCAGGGGCUGAGCAGGAAGCAGAGAGGGGGGCUGUAGGGGGGAACUUCUGGGAAGAAAACUCAUGGAACCGAGUCCACACAUAAGUAGCCUCCAUUCAUGGGACUCGUUUCUGCCUUAGUUCUCUGCCUCCCACUCUACUGGCUGCCCCUUCUAAUUCUUCAUCUCCCCGUCUCAAGCUCAGUGAAUCUGGUUAGAACCUGAGUACCAUGCUUAACUCCCAUUGGCCCUCCCCUCCCCUCCAGGUGAUGGAAUAUUGCUCCUCACCACCAAUUGCCUGGGACCUUCCAAUGCCAGCUCUGCCAGCUCUUGCCUCCUGAGUAUUUGACCUCUGAGCCUUGACUCCCAUUGCUGAAUUAUCUUCCCGAGCACAGGCAUGUGGAGGAGCAGACUUGGGGAGCCUGGUCCUGAGCCCAUUAGCUUCCCCAGACCCCUUGUCUUUGGCCCCACCUUCCAACUGCUCCUCCCUGCUCAGAGUCCGUAUUUAACACCCAUCUCCUACAAGGUUCUAGCAUGCCUUACAUGUGAGCCCAACUGAACUGCAAGUAUAACUUACCUAUCUGUUGAAUGGGCUGAAUAUGGUAGAGUAAAAUCCAAAAAUAAUUUUUUUCUGCAGCCAGUACUCUUUAAACCAGCUCUAUUAGGAAUCCCGUUUCUCUUUGUGGAUAAUAUCUCAAACAGAGAUAUUAGCUCUUCUGGCAAUUUCAGGUAUCAGAGCAGACUCAUUUUUAGAGUAUUCCGAAGUUCAGCUUGAUUUAAGUUAAAAAUUCACUCUCUUUCCUAAGUCUGUUUGUCUUCCAAUCUCCAGCUCAGAGUAGGCUCAGGUUCAGUGUCCAACCUUGGAGAAGAGAAGUGUGGUCAGUUCCUGGACGCUGCCUCCCAGCUCUUGCUUUCUCUUCCCCCUUAGCCUCCUGCUUCUGAGGAGGAGGAAUAAGAGGGAAGUAUUAAUUCUUAUUGGACAGUUCCUGGCAUAUUUGGGUCUUGAUGUUCUCAGGGUGGCAGAUGCCCAAAUGCUCAGGGAGAGAGUCUGUGAGUCCUUGAAGCCAUGGCCCUGGCCCACCCAGGGUCUCUGGCAUGGCCGAUGCUACCUCUGGCUGGCUAACAUCCUCCCUCAGCUCUUGCCCAGAGGGAGAACCCCCAGACUCUUCCUGCUGGCCUCUCUUCAGCCUGUGACAGUCCUCCUGGGUCGGGGUCCUUUCCAGAGAACCCUAGUCUACUCCUGGGGGAGUCCACUUAAUUCAUGGGAAACCUCCACCCGCCAUGCCUCUCCCUCUAGUCUGCCAAAAGGGGGCUCCCUGUGGGUUGAGGUGGGGUGAGCACAUCCCACUUCCUUCCUUCAUGGGAGGGGAGGGGGUGUCACAUGCUUCCUGCCAGAUGAGCAACUCUCUCAAAAAUCACCACCUCUGCCUGCCCUAAGCUUGUCUAGGCUGAAGGUGGUGAUAAAGGAAGGGCUCUAGGACCCAUUUCUGGCCACCUGUUAGCUUCAGGCUUCAAAGAAAAUUCUGGGACAUGAGUGAUAUUCCCAUUUAACAGAGACACGACACACUGUGGGCUGUUUUAUUGAGAAAAAUAUGCUAGGCAGGCAUAGGCCAGCCUUGGAGGAACGUGGACUUGAACAGUUGGGAUUCAUGAACUGAGACCACCCCCCCAACUCCCCAGGGAAUUUCCUGUAGCUGCCAUGAGUCCCUUCCAGCACAUUUUCAGCCGUCGGAUCUGGAGGGAAACCAGUAGAGAGCAGGAAUCAAUGCUAGGUUGUUAGGUGGAUUCAAGUGACGCCUGCUGUCUGCUGUGGGCCAUAAACACGCCAUAAAGAGGAAACAGGCUCUGGACAAAAGCUGGUCAUGGUGACUGACAAUGUGUGUGCCACCAGGAAAUGGGACAUCAGUGGGACUGGCUUGACCUCCUGCCUGAGCCUCAACCUGUGAUGACUCAGAGCCUGUGGAGGGAGGAGGAGAGCAAUGGAGAGAGUGUGUGUUGAGAGUUAGUGUGCUUAAGAGAAACCCCACUAGAAGAGAUUUUGUCAGGAAGGGAAGGGAGGGGAGGGGGCAGGGAAAGAAGAAAAAGAACUAGAGAGAGAAAAAGAGAAAGCAUGUGAGAACGAAGGAGAGAUAAAGAGAAUGCAAAUCAAAGCAAGAGAGCUGGAAAGGAGAUAAAGACAGGGUGUGCUCCGGCCGCCCGGGGUUGGGGUGAGGGGCUAAAAGGGCCCCAUCCUAGCCUUCAAGGACAGGACAUGUGUGCCACCGCUUCAGUGGUUGCUGGGUUCUGGCUUCCCACACCCCCUCAUGGGACACGUAAUCUAAGUGACAAAGAACAUUAAUAUUAGGGUUCAAUGCCAGUGAUUCCAGGAAAGUGCAGACAAGGGCUCCCUGGAGAAGCAAGAAUUGAGCCUGGGGUGUGAAGAAGAAUUAGGAAAUUCCAUGACCAGGGAAGGAGCCUUUCAGGAGGAGGGAGCAGCAGCAGCUGCAGUGAAGGGACGUCGUUGGAAACAGAAGCCCUUACGCCCGGCAGCAGAGUCAACUGGACAGAGGCCAAGAGUUUGGUCAAGGGGUCAAGGGUCACCAAUACUUUGGCUGACCUCUUUGAAUUGGUUGCUUAACUUCUUUGACCUUUAAUAAUUUCCAAGCCACCCUGUGUAGCUGGAGUUCAGGCCCUGGCCCCUCUCCUGACCAGCCCCAGCGUUACAGUAUCCUGUGGUGAAGGACGUGCCUUGCAUCUGGCCAGCACCUCAGCCAACCUCCCCGGCCGUAUCUUUACCUUGCCCUCCCCUUCCCCCACCCCCCCGCUCCCUACUCCCGCUCCAGGUAGAUGGGAUGUCAGCAAAAAAUUUUCAGGUUUCUGUAGUCAGAGUGUGGCCUGCCUUCCCACCCUUGCGGUGGUGUUGAUCAGAACAGCCUUGGCAGAUAAAAGACAUUUGAUGAAGAUUCACUGAAUGAAGGAAUGCAGGAAAACGGAGAGGCUGACUUUGGAGUCAGAAAGCCUGGGUUUGAUGGCACCUUUAUCAUUUUCUCAUGAAAAACUUUAAGCAGGUCACUUACCUUCUCUGGGUCUGGUUUCUGGUUAGCUCCCCUAGUGAUGGUAAAGUCGAAUGAAAUCACUGCUAAGUAAUGCACAACUAUCAGCUGUUUAACAAAACUCUAAAGAAGUGGUGCUAAAAAAUACCUAGUGGAGUUCCUGUUGUGGCUCAGCAUGUUAAGAACCUGACUUAGUGUCUGUGAGGAUGAGGGUUUUAUCCCUGGUCUUGCUCAGUGAGUUAAGGAUCCAGCAUUGCCACAAGCUAUGUAGGUCACAGAUGCGGUUUAGAUCUAGCUGUUGCUGUGGCUGUGGCAUAGGCAGCCAGCU
RNAcentral lists this long non-coding RNA (4743 nucleotides) under Sus scrofa (pig). Its description in RNAcentral is "lncRNA (ENSSSCG00000063480.1)". The record is from RNAcentral. Lineage: Eukaryota; Metazoa; Chordata; Mammalia; Artiodactyla; Suidae.